RNAcentral lists this unclassified non-coding RNA (202 nucleotides) under rhizosphere metagenome. RNAcentral's name for it is "partial ribosomal RNA internal transcribed spacer region". The record is from RNAcentral.
GUAGGUGAACCUGCGGAGGGAUCAUUACCGAGUGAGGGCUUCCGGCCCGACCUCCCAACCCUUUGUUGACCAACACCUGUUGCCUCGGGGGUGACCCGGCCUCCGCGCCGGGGUCCCCGGUGGACCAUUUCAUCUCUGUGUCUGUACGUCGGAGUGACUAGCAAAUCAAUCAAAACUUUCAACAACGGAUCUCUUGGUUCUG